CUGAAAUUAGACAGGCACCCUCCUUAGUGAACUGCAAGCACAUGAGUAAGACUUUCUUGUUCCAGCAGGCAUUUGAAGGGACCUUCAGCAAAUGAAAACUCUGCUGAAGUUUAUCCACAGCCACCACCACCAUCAGCUCUGUGGAAAAUGGCAGCGAUAGGAAGCAUUCAAAUGCAGAAGUAUCUUUAUCUGCAUUGUUAACAGAGCCUAUGCAUGACCAUCAAUUAGAAGCAGGUGGGGCUGAGCAAGCUGAAGGAUCAGGGCCGCCCCUUAAGAACAUAGAUCUUGUUGUUGAGCAUCAGAGGACUGAUGAUGCAGGUGAUGACAGGAGUGAGCAAGCUGUAGGAUCAGGACCUCGCCUUAAGAAAAAAAAACCAAAAUGAAACAUAUUGAGGAACAUCAGGCCUAUGAUGAUGUAGUGUACAUCACUGGCAAGUCCUUCUCUAUCCCCUAAAGUUACAAGUGGUGAUGGCACUAGCAUGGAUGAGAAUAAAAAGUGUGAUGAAGCAGCGAUACAGGAGGUUCCUGGUCCAGUGCCCAAGAGGCCAAGGUAUGACGACCCUCAACAGGCAUCCCAAGAGAUUGAACAAGAUUUACACAAUCGUGUUGAGCAGCACAGACUGAUAUUGAAUGCAUACAAGGCUAUAGAGAAUAUGAUUAAAAAAAGCCUUUGCAGGGGAAACUGUGAAAUGUUUUAAGGCUAGGCCCAAGAACAUAAAAAAGAAGCAUGGUAAGAAACACAACAAGACAGAUGAAAAGGAGAAUGCUGAGAAUGAGUGGCCCCCUGCAGGGAAAUCAUGGGAAUUUAAAGGCCCCUCCACAUCAGAGGAAAGCUGCAUCAGAUGAGCUCAUAGAGACGAUUUGUGAGAUAGCUCUGAACACUUUAAAAGGCAAUGUUCCCCUGACUCCCCAGCAGGUUGUCAAAAACUCCAUACACUAUCAUGUUGACAGUGACCGGAAGAGCUCUUGCAAAUCGAACUUCUGCUCUCAGAUUCCCUGUUUUGAUAAAAGAAUAGUGCUCCCCGCAUUCCUGGUCUGGAGACAGGUCAAAAGCAAAAAGAGUGUAGCCUCUUGCGAACUCCUCACAGUUAAUUAACAGAGCCCUAUCUUUCAUGUGUUUGCCGGAUGUCUGCACCAGACUCAUCUAUUCUCGAACGCAGUUUCUUGUUUCAAAUUCAGGCUGAAGAGGUUUUGUGGGGAUUUGGAAACCGUCGCCAUACAGAGAUACAAAACUGAUGUCAUAAUGCUUAAAGUUAAAGGGGUUUUUAUUGUAAACCCCGCUGAAGGAAUCGUUAUCGACCAGCCCUAUAACCACUUGCUUUGGUAGCUGACCCAAAAAUAGAUUCUCCUGCUUGCUGACGCGGCUUCCUCAGGGGAUACUAAACGCUAUCAUGCAGACAAAAUCCAUAGGGUAUUUGGUGUUGGAUGUCAACAAUGCUUCUGCAUGUCCUAACCGGACACCUGGUGCCACGCUCACCUUCUUUACAGAAAGUGAGGCUGGCACAAUUUGUAAUUAGUAUCAGCUGUUUGUAUCAUCAGCCAUCAAACAGAAAGUGUCUUUGUUGAGUGUCAAUUUAAUUUUCACAUCCACUCCAUUCAGCAUCAAUUUUUCUUGAAAAAACAGAUCAGCAUGGAGAUGACCGAGGAGGUCUAUUUUUGGCUUUCAACUGUCAGAGUGGCCCUUCUAACAAAGCCUAAAUUUCCCCAUCCAGGGUUGCCACCUCACAUUGUCUGGCUGUUUAUUUGUCAAAUAACCCUGCAGAAAAUUGUGUGGCUAUGGUGUCUUUGCCGUAAUUCAGCACAAAUUCUAUGAAGGCUCUAUAAGGGUAGCAGUUGUUGCUCUGACUGAUGAGUCGGUCUCCCAGAGUCACAUCCAAUUGGCUAAAGAUGGAUACCAACGGAUAAUUCACCAGACCCACAUUAGCUCCUCUGGCCAGGUUUGUUCCAUCCUGAUUCACAAUUUUGCAACUCAUGUACAGCAAUGUAUUGUUUAAGUCCAUAUAAUCUUUGCCAUUUCCUGCAAUGUAGAAUUCUAGCCGUGCAGUGUCCAUCAGCACUGCCAAGGGUGGCACUUCGAUAAACAGGCUUCUCUCAAUACAGGUCUGCGUAGGUCCAAUCUGGAAUAGAUCUAAUUCAGAUUUAACGCAUUCCUCAGAACUGCUAUGGAUGAAAGCCAUGAUGGUUUAAAAUAUAUCUUCUUUUUGAGCUGGUGCUGUACGCCUCUUCUUUCUUAUGGCUUUCUGCUUCUGAGGUUUUUUUCUCAUCAGUGAUGUUCUUUUAAAAGUUCUGGGCAGGCCUGUUAGUUGCACCCAUGAUACUUUUCUUUUUGGGGCUUUUCUCCUUUUAAUAUACAUCAGCCCUGAUCCCUCUUGUGGAUUAACUCUUUUCAAAACUGCCUGAGUAACCUGUCCAUUCACAUCGUUAGCAAUAUUUCAAACAGCUGUCUUAGCGUAUGGUUUAAGAAUCUCUAGGCCUCUUCUCAAAAGCAGCAUGGCUUUUCAAAAAAGGCUCCUGAAUAUUCCCCCUAUUCCUGCCCCAUACAUAACUGGGGCACCAUGGUAAUUCGGAAGAGCAUUUCCUGCCUGGGCCCUGUAAUAAUUCCGGUAAAGUGUUGGGUAUCCAUAAGUUUGGGUCACUAUGGACUAUGGACUAUGACCUGGGAGACCAGGGUUCAAAUCCCCACACAGCCAUGAAGCUGACUGGGUGACCUUGGGCCAGUCACUGGCUCUCAGCCUCAGAGGAAGGCUAUGGUGAAACUACCUCUGAAUACUGUUUACCAUGAAAACCCUAUUCAAAGGGUCGCCAUAGGUGGUGAUUGACUUGAAGGCAGUCAAAGACCACUUGGACAUGGUCCCCACAGCCAACUCUGGUGAGGAUUUAAACGAGGGAUAGAGCUGAGUGUCAUCUGCAUACUGGUGACACUGCAGCCCAAAUCUCCUAAUGAUAGUCCCCAGCGGCUUCAUAUAGAUAUUAAAUAGCAUGGGAGAUAGGAUAGAGCCCUGUGGCACACCACAAUUGAGAGGCCAAGGGUCCGAAACCUCCUCCCCCAAUGCUACUUGUUGAUGCCUAUCAGAGAGAAAGGAGCAGAACCACUGCAGUACAGUGCCUCCUAUUCCCAGUCCCUCCAGGCGAUGUAAAAGGAUACUGUGGUCGACAGUAUCAAAAGCUGCUGAGAGAUCGAGGACAAGAAAGGUGAAUUCUCCCCUAUGUAAUGCCCUCCGCAUAUCAUCCACCAGAGCGAACAAGGCUGUUUCAGUUCCAUGUCCAGUCCUGAAACCCGAUUGGUAUGGAUCCAAAUAAUCCCUUUCAUCCAAGUGUGCUGACAGCUGAUUAGCCACCACUCGCUCAAUGACCUUAUAUACCAUAAGGGAAAAGCUUGACACAGUGAUGUAUGUAAUUACCACAGACCAAUUAAACAAAAACAAAGUAGUUCAUGUAAAUAUGUUGAAACCUUACCAUACCAGGGAUGCAAAGGUGUUGCAAGUUACCUUAUUCCCUGAGGGAAGUGGGCCUGAACGUCCAGAUUUGGUACAGGAAAGCAAAGACAAAGGAGGGGUAGAUCAAGUGGAAUGGUCGGAGGAGGGGAAAGAAGAAGUAAAGGAAGAGAUUCUGAGAGUUUUGAAAAACUAUGGAGAUCUCUUUAGUAAUAAACCUGGCCGAACCAGUAUAGCCAGACAUUCCAUUGAUACUGGAAAUCAUGCCCCAAUCAGAUCUGUUCCGUACCAUGUGAAUGGGAAAGUUUUGAGUGAAAUUAAAAAGGAGGUGGAAGAUAUGCUGGAACUAGGAGUGAUCAGGGAAUCCAUCAGUCCCUGGGCCUCAAGUAUUGUCCUGGUUCCAAAAAAAGAUGGAACUACAAGAUUUUGUAUUGAUUAUCGAUUAAUCAAUAAAAUUACUGUCCCAGAUGUGUAUCCUAUGCCUAGGGUGGAAGCAAUGUUAGAGUUAUUGGGGGCAGCAACCAUUAUCUCUACGAUAGACCUCUGUAAAGGAUUUUGGCAGAUGGAACUAGACGAGCAAUCCAGAGCCAAAACUGCCUUCAGUACACCAGAUGGGUUAUAUGAGUUUGUGACUUUACCCAUGGGACUAAGGAACUCACCAAGUUCGUUUCAGAGGCUAAUUAAUACUGUGUUGUGAGGCAUGUCAGAUUUUGCAGUGACCUAUAUCGAUGACGUGGCCAUUUUUAGCAAGUCGGUGCCUGAGCAUGUCCAACACUUGACGGCAGUAUUAGAGGCAUUAAGAAAAGCAGGGCUAACAAUAAAAACUAAGAAAUGCCAGUUUGGAUUGAAUGAGGUCAUCUAUUUAGGACAUAAGGUGGGGAGUGGGAAAAUAACCCCCUUAUGGAGUAAAGUUGAGGCAAUACAAUCAUGGCCUAUCCGCUUAACAAAGAAACAAGUUAGGGCAUUUUUAGGUGUGGUUGGAUUCUACCGAAAGUUUGUGAAAAAUUUUGGGGAAAUAGCGACCCCCUUGCAUGAGCUGACAAAGAAAAACUGUGCUGAAUGUGUGGUAUGGACGGAUGAAUGUCAAAAGGCUUUUGAUCUGCUGAAGCAAGCCUUGUGCCAAGGACCUAUAUUAAUAGCACCAGACUAUGAGCAACCAUUCAUCGUGGCUACAGAUGCAUCGGACCUCGCAAUGGGAGUCGUCUUGCUGCAGGAGAGAGGAGGCACCAGACAUCCAGUGGCGUAUCUUAGUCGCAAGCUAACAUCAAGGGAGAAGAAUUAUUCAUCGGUCCAAAAGGAGUGCCUAGCGGUCGUGUGGGGACUGAGCAAGUUGCGCCCAUAUGUGUGGGGAUGAAUAUUUACGGUGACGACGGAUCAUUGGGCCUUGUUAUGGUUACAGACUAUGAAAAACCAUAACACUAUGCUGCAGAGGUGGUCCUGGGCUCUACAAGACUAUCAGGUGGACUUCAAGUUCAUCAAAGGCAAGGACAAUGUAUUGGCCGAUGGACUUUCAAGGCAAGUGGCUGGGACUGCAGUGACGUGACGCAGACGUAGGAACAAAAAAGACAUUUUCCCCAUAAAGACUUGGUUUUAUUGUUAACGCGGCGUAUGAAUCCUAGAGCAGGAAUAAUACUCUGCCGUUAUUUUUAAGGGGGGGGAAAUGUGAUGUUCCUGUAUUAAUGUAUAUAUGGUAAGUGCUGUUUGUAUAGAAGAUAUGUGGUAAGUGGAAUGAAAGAGGAGGGGGGAGUAAAUGAGCAGUAGAAUGCUGGAUGAUUGGCUGAGUGUUUGGAUGGCUGAGAGUAUAAAUGGAAGGAUGACAGUUGAAUUGGGGUGGACGUGAGUGGGUUGUUUGAGAGGUGAGUGGGUUGUUUUGGUGGAGUUUGGAGGUGGGUGUGAGUUGGUGUAUGUCAGGAGAGUGUGGAGAAAGAGGGAGGUGGAGUUCGGAUUAGUAAUAAGUCAAAUAUCACAGUAAUAGAUGAAACCAUAAGCUUGUAGAUCAUUAUCAAAGUUAUCUUGUUAUUAAUGUUAUUUAAUAAAUACUAUUUGGGUUUA
Molecule: long non-coding RNA, 5486 nt
Organism: Rhineura floridana
Lineage: Eukaryota; Metazoa; Chordata; Lepidosauria; Squamata; Rhineuridae
Exons: 10
Source: RefSeq, a predicted model, not a curated record